CCCGGCAAUCACGCUACACCCUUCCCCACCACGCCCGUCGCGUCUCCUCAUCGCGCGUCCAACAGAUCCUGCCCGGCAAUCACGCGCCACCCUUCCCCACCACGCCCGUCGCACCUCCUCAUCACCCGUCCACCGCCGCCACUCUGCGCGCCCUCCCCCCACGCUUGUCGCGCCGCCGCUCCCAUCCCACCUCGACGCCGCACCGCUCCAAGCUAGCUGUCAUGGCCGCCCGUCGUCUGCCGCGAUCGAGCGUCGAUGCUACGCCCCUCCUUCGCGGCAUCGUUCCGACGCCCCUCCUUCGCGGCGGCGACCUCCCCCUCUUGUCUCAUGUGAGCGAUUCUCCGAGGGACAUGUUCACCGGACUCUCUCCGCCCGAAGCUAUUCGUGUCGCCGUCAGGUCUCCACGCCGCCCCACAUCGCCGGACUCAACUCCGCCCGAAGCAGCCGAACCAGCCGGGAUCCCUCGCUUUCGCCACCGCUUCCUAUUUCCUCCCCUAAGCUGCUGCUAGGAUGUUGUCCCUGAAUCGCAUCUCAUUCCCGCAGCCGUCGCCAUCUCGCCUCUCACCUGCCCACAGGCCGGGUGGCGUCCUGACCAGGUGCAGCAACGCCGUCGCCUCGCCCAGAAGAUCUUCGGCGCCAUCAAGCUCCAGCUCAGGAGGUUCCUCCUAAUAGCGGUGAGCUAUUCUUACUUUCAGGACCAGGAUGCAAGCUAAAGGAGGGAUCUCCAUCUCGACUUCACGCAGUGGCCACAGGCCACAGCACUUCAACUUGCAAUUCAAACUGCACAAGGAUUUCAGAUGCCCUCCUUCCAUUUCUUCUCUGAUUGUCAGAUGCUUGUCAACGCUGUAAAAGCUGCCGAUCCAAUUGACAGCCCUGGACAUUCGAGAAAAUAAUUUUGUGUGCCCUCAUGAAGGUUGUGGAAAGGAGAAUUUACAUUUGUCAGUACCAUUCCUAUAUAUUGGCCAAAUACAAAUGGAAUUAUUUCGCGUUACAAAAUCUACAUCUCUAGAAAAUACAUACAUCUAAACAAGCCACCUGAGAUUGAUGCUUCCUGACAUACCGAUCACCCAAAUGUCCAGGAGCCUCCCUGAAAACCUUUGAGAAUUGCUGAUAACUAUGCAAGCUAAAGAGCUGCCUCCUUUUGUUCACUACGAAGAUGAGGACAUCUUCCUGACAUUUGAGGAGUCAAGACUCAAGAGCAAUGAUCGAUAACACCAUCAUCCAAGAGCUAUACGUAUUUGCAGUUCUCUUUGAGUCUUUGAUUCAGUCGUUCAACAGCUUGGUUAACUGCAUGGGUUGUAGGCAAAGAGAAGACUGAAUUUUGGCUUCUACGAUGGGUUAACUGAACAUGCAUGUCCUGGAAGCAAGUGCAAUCCUGCACUGGCAUUAUAUAUGCAUAUAAUUCUGAGUCAAGCUCAGUCUUAGCAGAACAGAUAAUUAGUUUUUUAUUUACUUUGGCGUAUAUGGAAGAGUAGACAUGACUAUCUGUUCAAAAUUAUAUACAUAGUUCUUACUCAAGUUCAGUCUCAGCAGGACAAAGCAUU
Long non-coding RNA from Phragmites australis (common reed), 1544 nucleotides. RefSeq lists it as uncharacterized. The record is from RefSeq and is a predicted model, not a curated record. Lineage: Eukaryota; Viridiplantae; Streptophyta; Magnoliopsida; Poales; Poaceae. The transcript is spliced from 3 exons.